Molecule: ribosomal RNA, 455 nt
Filed under: uncultured bacterium
Lineage: Bacteria
Description: bacterial SSU rRNA
Rfam family: Bacterial small subunit ribosomal RNA
Source: RNAcentral
AGGCAGCAGUGGGGAAUUUUGGACAAUGGGCGCAAGCCUGAUCCAGCCAUGCCGCGUGCGGGAAGAAGGCCUUCGGGUUGUAAACCACUUUUGUCAGGGAAGAAAUCCUUUGAGAUAAUACCUCGGAGGGAUGACGGUACCUGAAGAAUAAGCACCGGCCAACUACGUGCCAGCAGCCGCGGUAAUACGUAGGGUGCGAGCGUUAAUCGGAAUUACUGGGCGUAAAGCGUGCGCAGGCGGUCUUGCAAGACAGGUGUGAAAUCCCCGGGCUUAACCUGGGAACUGCACUUGUGACUGCAAGGCUGGAGUACGGCAGAGGGGGAUGGAAUUCCGCGUGUAGCAGUGAAAUGCGUAGAUAUGCGGAGGAACACCGAUGGCGAAGGCAAUCCCCUGGGCCUGUACUGACGCUCAUGCACGAAAGCGUGGGGAGCAAACAGGAUUAGAUACCCUGGUAG